RNAcentral lists this long non-coding RNA (201 nucleotides) under Elaeis guineensis (African oil palm). Its description in RNAcentral is "long non-coding RNA (EGUI_LNC044471)". The record is from RNAcentral. Lineage: Eukaryota; Viridiplantae; Streptophyta; Magnoliopsida; Arecales; Arecaceae.
CACCAUGGUGACUUGCAAGCAACUCACUGUACUUCAGUGUCGAACUAACUAAGUUUCUAAUUCAGUGAUAAAAAAUUUCUGGAUGCAGUCAAGUACUUGUCAAGUCGAUACCUAAGUCAAGAUGAGAUUGACCCCUCCGAAUUAGUAAGAGUUAAUGUAUUAAUAUAUUUUAAUUUAGCAAAAUUUGAGCCCGGAUAAUCC